AAGUCGAACGAAGGCCAUAGAGGAGCUUGCUUUAAUAUGGUUUUAGCGGCGGACGGGUGAGUAACGCGUGAGGACUUGUCGAGUACAGGGGGACAACAGGUGGAAACGUCUGCUAAUACCCCAUAAGCCUUCGGGUAAAAGGAGCGAUCCGGUACACGAGAGACUCGCGUUCUAUCAGCUAGUAGGUGGGGUAACGGCCCACCCAGGCCAAGACGGAUAGCCGGACUGAGGGGUCGAUCGGCCACACUGGAACUGAGACACGGUCCAGACUCCUACGGGAGGCAGCAGUGGGGAAUAUUGGGCAAUGGGGAAACCCUUGACCCAGCGACGCCGCGUGAGUGAAGAAAUCCCUCGGGAUGUAAAACUCUGUUGUGUGGGAAGAUAAUGACGGUACCACACGAGGAAGCCCCGGCAAACUACGUGCCAGCAGCCGC
Molecule: ribosomal RNA, 434 nt
Filed under: uncultured bacterium
Lineage: Bacteria
Description: bacterial SSU rRNA
Rfam family: Bacterial small subunit ribosomal RNA
Source: RNAcentral